UACGUAGGGGGCGAGCGUUGUCCGGAAUUACUGGGCGUAAAGCGUGCGCAGGCGGUUUUGUAAGUCUGACGUGAAAUCCCCGGGCUCAACCUGGGAAUUGCGUUGGAGACUGCAAGGCUGGAGUCUGGCAGAGGGGGGUAGAAUUCCACGUGUAGCAGUGAAAUGCGUAGAGAUGUGGAGGAACACCGAUGGCGAAGGCAGCCCCCUGGGUCAAGACUGACGCUCAUGCACGAAAGCGUGGGGAGCAAACAGG
RNAcentral lists this ribosomal RNA (253 nucleotides) under uncultured bacterium. RNAcentral describes it as "partial 16S ribosomal RNA". It matches the Rfam family "Bacterial small subunit ribosomal RNA", at positions 524 to 776 of the family's 1533-position model. The record is from RNAcentral.